GCUUAACGCGAAGAACCUUACCCACCUUUGACAUGGCAGGAACUUACCAGAGAUGGUUUGGUGCUCGAAAGAGAACCUGCACACAGGUGCUGCAUGGCUGUCGUCAGCUCGUGUCGUGAGAUGUUGGGUUAAGUCCCGCAACGAGCGCAACCCUUGCCAUUAGUUGCUACAUUCAGUUGAGCACUCUAAUGGGACUGCCGGUGACAAACCGGAGGAAGGUGGGGAUGACGUCAAGUCCUCAUGGCCCUUAUAGGUGGGGCUACACACGUCAUACAAUGGCUGGUACAAAGGGUUGCCAACCCGCGAGGGGGAGCUAAUCCCAUAAAGCCAGUCGUAGUCCGGAUCGCAGUCUGCAACUCGACUGCGUGAAGUCGGAAUCGCUGGUAAUCGUGGAUCAGAAUGUCACGGUGAAUACGUUCCCGGGUCUUGUACACACCG
RNAcentral lists this ribosomal RNA (438 nucleotides) under uncultured bacterium. Its description in RNAcentral is "bacterial SSU rRNA". It matches the Rfam family "Bacterial small subunit ribosomal RNA", at positions 954 to 1392 of the family's 1533-position model. The record is from RNAcentral.